This is a long non-coding RNA of Pseudophryne corroboree (corroboree frog), 1013 nucleotides long. RefSeq lists it as uncharacterized. The transcript has 4 exons. NCBI's taxonomy places the organism in Eukaryota, Metazoa, Chordata, Amphibia, Anura, Myobatrachidae. The record is from RefSeq and is a predicted model, not a curated record.
AGUGUCACACUGACACUGCACGCAGCAGUGUGCAUAAGCUGAGAGCACCUGUCACACUGCACUCCCAAUCCUGCCUCACACAGUCAACGCCGGCGUGUCUUUAAACAAAGUCUCUAUCUUUUUUUUUCUUCUUGUCUGUCUCCCUUACAUUGAAAGUUUACAAUUGUACAAACAAGAAGCAACAGUUUGAUCUCACCCAAAGCAGAACUCAGUGGAUGUCUGACUUCUCCUGAAGACUUCUCCUCUAUAUCCCCACACCACAGAACAAGUGGUAAAAUGGCUACCUUGCUCCUCUUCUAUGCAGUAGUACUGUCUCCUCCACCAAAGCAUCUCCACAUCUCUCCAGCUGCGUACUCAAAGGCCGUGCUAUAAACAUAAGAAGAAGCAAAUUGUUUGGGCCGGAAUAAGUCUGGUGGAGGCCCAGGGCAAUGAAAGUGUGGGGGCUCCCACCACUGCAGAAGCAACAAAUCAUCCCCUACCUUCCCCCCCUCCCCCCCACACACACACACUCAAUGCACAGUACAGAGUACCUGGUUGUCACGGAACAGCGCAGAAGCAUCAGGCGGCUCACAGUCACUGUCACACUAUCCCACGACACUGACACAGAGGUGCUCCUCGGUGACCGCUGCUAAUAAACAGCUGAGCCGUUGGAGGGAGACUCUUCUGAUUGACAAUGCACUCUGUGGUGGCCCCUAAUAGUUGGGGCCCCCGGACAACUACCCCUGUUGCCCCUGCUUUAAUCCAGCCCUGCCUUCUCUCUCCCCACAACUGUGUCCAACACCGUAUAAAUGAAUCUGAUGAUGGUAGAAAUCCAGAGAAAAUGGAAUGUAUUGACUUCUAUGGACCCUGUGAAUCUAUUCAAUUUCAACAUAAGAAAGUCUGUCGUACCAUAUUGCGCCAACAAGAAUCAAUGAAGGCCAGCAUGUGGUAAUCUGUUACCCGCUUUCAUGUGCGUUCCCUUAAUUAUAGCUAGUAAUUAUGCUUGCAUGCUAAUCUAUUAGCAACUGUAUCUA